This 225-nucleotide long non-coding RNA is filed under the name Lathyrus oleraceus (garden pea). Its description in RNAcentral is "Pisum sativum (pea) long non-coding RNA (PSAT_LNC007658)". The record is from RNAcentral. Lineage: Eukaryota; Viridiplantae; Streptophyta; Magnoliopsida; Fabales; Fabaceae.
AAAAUUUUCUCGAUUCCCCACUCAAAGUUUUAUCUCUUGUAUUCCCCGGUGGAGCUUGUCUUCUGAUAGAAGUUCCCUCAUUUCCGGUAGUGUUUGGUUAUGAGCAGUAUUGAUUUUUUCCCCUGCAAGGUUGUCUCCCAUUCGAUAUGGUGUUGACUUAAAAUUCCCUGUAGUGUUGACUUGUUUGGAUCCUCGACAGAUUCUUCUUUAUCCUUGGCAUGUUUG